This 497-nucleotide ribosomal RNA is filed under the name uncultured bacterium. Its description in RNAcentral is "partial 16S ribosomal RNA". It matches the Rfam family "Bacterial small subunit ribosomal RNA", at positions 28 to 507 of the family's 1533-position model. The record is from RNAcentral.
GAUGAACGCUGGCGGCGUGCCUAAUACAUGCAAGUCGAGCGAACGGACGAGAAGCUUGCUUCUCUGAUGUUAGCGGCGGACGGGUGAGUAACACGUGGAUAACCUACCUAUAAGACUGGGAUAACUUCGGGAAACCGGAGCUAAUACCGGAUAAUAUUUUGAACCGCAUGGUUCAAAAGUGAAAGACGGUCUUGCUGUCGCUUAUAGAUGGAUCCGCGCUGUAUUAGCUAGUUGGUAAGGUAACGGCUUACCAAGGCAACGAUGCAUAGCCGACCUGAGAGGGUGAUCGGCCACACUGGAACUGAGACACGGUCCAGACUCCUACGGGAGGCAGCAGUAGGGAAUCUUCCGCAAUGGGCGAAAGCCUGACGGAGCAACGCCGCGUGAGUGAUGAAGGUCUUCGGAUCGUAAAACUCUGUUAUUAGGGAAGAACAUAUGUGUAAGUAACUGUGCACAUCUUGACGGUACCUAAUCAGAAAGCCACGGCUAACUACGUG